Non-coding RNA from Meleagris gallopavo (turkey), 2029 nucleotides. NCBI's taxonomy places the organism in Eukaryota, Metazoa, Chordata, Aves, Galliformes, Phasianidae. The record is from RefSeq and is a predicted model, not a curated record.
UUCUGCUUGGCUUCAGGCACUGCCUGCAGUCUCCUAUCAAUGACUUUUCUUACGUGGAUCCUACGGCAUAAUCACAGUGGUUGGAAAGGACCUCAGGAGAUCAUCGAGUCUAACCUGCUGCUAAAUCAGGCUCCCUUAGAGUAGAUUGCACAGAACAUCUUGGUAAAAGAGGAAUAUUCUGGAGGAGACAAUAAUGUUGCUGAUUAUAGCCUGAAGUGACCCUGUUUAUCACUUUUGCCAUUUCCAGAACACUGCAGCCAUUCGUCCAUAGGUCAAAGCAUUGGAAGAUCUCAGCACUAUUUUACCAGGAAAAAAUUGAACUAGGAAGUUUUUGAAGACAAAAUUUAUGUUUUUCACUUCAAAAACAUAUAUAGCAGGAAACUUUCUAAGUGGAUCCUAUGAAGAAUAUGGGAUAAGAAUUCAUAUAUUUCAACAGGAGCAGUCUUCUCUGACAGGUAUUACUGUGAUAUGGGAACAUUUUGUCAGCUUGUGACUGGAAAUAACCAGCAGAAGAUUUUUGUUAGUGAAAAAACUUGAGGAUGUAUAGUAUCAGGAAAAUAAGAGACCCAGAAAUUAGUGGGAAGUCAGACCAUCUUUUGCUGAUUUUGAAUGCUGUAGUCUGCAAAGCUGAUAUGAAAAAAUUAAUUAAAAAGCCCAGCUUUUUAGUGCUACUGGAAUGAUGCAUACCAGGAAAUGAAUUCUGGUGAACUUGUGAAUUUAGCUCUUAAUAAUGGAGUGAAACAUACAAACAAAGCACUCUCUUCCACAACACUUUGAUUGUAAAAUUGAAAGAGAAAAAAACAUAAUUGCAGUUGUGUUAAAUAAUUACUACUUGAAAAAGAUGAGAACGUCUAUGUUUUAUUAAGUGUAUUCCUUCACACUCACUCCUAUAAAAAUGAAAGGAUGACACUUGUGUAAAUUUGUUUGUUAUUAAGUCACAACCUAAAAGACAACUUGUUAGGAAAUGACUACCUGAUAGAAGUAAAAACACAUUUUAAAUCCACUUAAAUAUAUUACAGUCCAAUAUUUAGUGAAACCUGCACAUCUGAAUAAUCUGUAGGAAAACUCUAAAUGCUCUUUUUGUGGAACAUGCAUUCCUUUGCAGCAAGCCCCAAAGAAGAUAAUAACAUGAAUCAGCAAAUGAUAAAAGUCAGAAAAAAAUAAUAUUGAAUUUUAUUAUUCCUGAAACAUGGAGGACCAGAGGAUGAAAGCAUACAUAUACAUUUUAUCUUUCUAUUAUCUUGAUGCAAAAAUAAAUGUCUUAAACCCAUUUCUGAGAACAUUAAAAAAUAAACCAGCUGAAUGGAGCAGACAUAAAAAUGUUAGAAGAAUUUAGAGACAGUGACUGUUCUCACAUUUCUGCAGUUCUAGAUUUAAACAAUGAGCUAGAGAGAGCAUGAAGCUGAAAGAUGAUUCAUAAAAUUAAACUACAAAGAAAAAAAUCCAUUUCAUAUGGUACUCUCUUAGCCAAAUACAAUUUUUAGAGUAGUUGUCAGUUUCCUGAAGUGACAAGGAAUUAAAUGCAAAACAAGUAUUCUGAAACAAUUUCCCAUUCACACUGUUUAUAAUCAUUACAUAAGGUGUUAUCCUGCAGACUGGGAGGAGACAAACAAAAACACCUUUCAAAGUGCUGAAAGCAGUCAGUGUAAAUUGUUUCCUGAGGAUUUUAUUUUUAAUUGCUGAUACAAAGUAAAAGGCCUAAUUUAGCCAAGGAGAAAUAGACACUUUUUUUUCUUCCAUAAUUCAUGAACUCAUAUAGCCAUUUGGCACGUACAGCUAAAUUAUCAUUAGCAUAUUAUAGUCAAUGAGAGAAAUCAUAAUUAGAAGUCAUUCUUCAUUUUUUUCAGAGCAAAGUUUUUUUUCUCUCUUCUAUUGACAUAAGUCUUAAUCAUUCUUAAGUGGUUUUGAAACCUGACUACAGUGUACUCUGGGGGAAAAUAAUGUCAUGGAAGGAAUACAGGACACACUAUAAACUUCAGGCUACGUUUAAGUGGUUUCUGGUUUUUUUUUUUGUUUUUUUUUUUUGUUU